CCCUAUGGGGUGCAGCAGGCCGGGUAAGGAGUUUUAUUAUAACAGCAUGAACACAUACAUGCUCUCAGCUAUAGUUAAGAAAAAAACGGGAAAGAACGUUUCUGAGUAUUUGACUCCAAGAUUAUUCGAGCCUUUAAAUAUAGAGGAUUUCUCGUGGGAAAAGUGCCCGAAGGGAAUAGAAAAAGGCGGCUGGGGGUCGGCUUUAACCGUAGCUGAUGUAGCUAAGAUAGGCCAGUUAUACCUGCAAAACGGAAAAUGGAAUGUAAACGGGAAAGAAAUGAGCCUUCUUUCAGAGGGGUGGAUAAGGGAAGCUACCUCAAACCAUAUAAACUCUGAUAAGGAAUUGGCGGGGGGGC
Molecule: ribosomal RNA, 356 nt
Filed under: uncultured prokaryote
Description: partial 16S ribosomal RNA
Source: RNAcentral